RNAcentral lists this ribosomal RNA (262 nucleotides) under uncultured bacterium. RNAcentral's name for it is "partial 16S ribosomal RNA". It matches the Rfam family "Bacterial small subunit ribosomal RNA", at positions 331 to 609 of the family's 1533-position model. The record is from RNAcentral.
CCUGGCCUACGGGGGGCAGCAGUGGGGAAUAUUGGGCAAUGGGCGCAAGCCUGACCCAGCAACGCCGCGUGAAGGAAGAAGGCUUUCGGGUUGUAAACUUCUUUUAUCAGGGACGAAGCAAGUGACGGUACCUGAUGAAUACGCCACGGCUAACUACGUGCCAGCAGCCGCGGUAAUACGUAGGUGGCAAGCGUUAUCCGGCUUUACUGGGUGUAAAGGGCGUGUAGGCGGGAGUGCAAGUCAGAUGUGACAACUAUGGGCU